GCCCACUUAGCUCAGAGGUUAGAGCAUCGCAUUUGUAAUGCGAGGGUCUGUGAUGAACUACUUUCCAAUAAGGGAGCA
Non-coding RNA from Triticum aestivum (bread wheat), 78 nucleotides. The record is from Rfam. Lineage: Eukaryota; Viridiplantae; Streptophyta; Magnoliopsida; Poales; Poaceae.